This 497-nucleotide ribosomal RNA is filed under the name uncultured bacterium. RNAcentral describes it as "partial 16S ribosomal RNA". It matches the Rfam family "Bacterial small subunit ribosomal RNA", at positions 28 to 507 of the family's 1533-position model. The record is from RNAcentral.
GACGAACGCUGGCGGCGUGCCUAAUACAUGCAAGUUGAGCGCUGAAGGUUGGUACUUGUACCGACUGGAUGAGCAGCGAACGGGUGAGUAACGCGUGGGUAAUCUGCCUUUGAGAGGGGGACAACAUCUGGAAACGAAUGCUAAUACCGCAUAAAAACUUUAAACACAAGUUUUAAGUUUGAAAGAUGCAAUUGCAUCACUCAAAGAUGAUCCCGCGUUGUAUUAGCUAGUUGGUGAGGUAAAGGCUCACCAAGGCGAUGAUACAUAGCCGACCUGAGAGGGGGAUCGGCCACAUUGGGACUGGGACACGGCCCAAACUCCUAAGGGAGGCAGCAGUAGGGAAUCUUCGGCAAUGGACGAAAGUCUGACCGAGCAACGCCGCGUGAGUGAAGAAGGUUUUCGGAUCGUAAAACUCUGUUGGUAGAGAAGAACGUUGGUGGGAGUGGAAGGCUCAUCUAGUGACGGUAACUACCCAGAAAGGGACGGCUAACUACGUG